This 1562-nucleotide long non-coding RNA is filed under the name Marmota monax (woodchuck). The record is from RNAcentral. Lineage: Eukaryota; Metazoa; Chordata; Mammalia; Rodentia; Sciuridae.
UUUUUUUUUGGUGCUGAGAAUUGGACCCAGGGCCUGGCACAUGCUAGGCAAGUUUUCUACCACUGAGCUACAACUCCAACCCUUACUACUUUUUUUUAAAAGAGUUUGGGUAAUUUGUUAAGUUGCCACUUAGUAGCACUUCAUACUAUUUUAGCUAUUGUAGCAUUCUCCACGUAAAACCCCGGUAGUUAAUUAAAAGUCAUAUUUUAGAUUAAUUUGUAAAUAACUUCUUGUCUACCCUUGAGAGCAUAAACUCUGAAUAGUAUUAGACACCAACAACCAUAUCUUCCUUAAAAAGGCAAAAUUUUUAGUGUGAAAAAGGAGCCUUAAUGGAAAUGAUUUCCAACUGAAUGAAGCCCAGAGUAAAACAGGUCAUUUUAAGAAGCAAAUAACACCUCACCUUGUGCACUGGAGUCUUCUGGAGACCAUGUUGGUAAUGGUGUUAGCUGGUGUUCACUAAUGACUGGUUUACUAAUUGUCUUUGUACACUACUAUCUUAACACAACUGAAGGAUGGCAUUUGGUUAGUGUUAGCCAAGAAUAUGGUGCUAAUUUGCUGAACUUGAACCCCUCAUCCACUAAGAGAGUCACUGGAGGCUUUUCUCCACUAGGAAGUGCUCCUCUCUUUUUGCCUGCAGCUCUCAGUGCUGGAGGGGGACACCUCCCCAUCCUGUCUGGCUGGGUCUGCACACCUCAGUGCCCUCAGCUUUAGGAUAGAAGUUCUGACAAGGGUGUCAUGCCGCUACCUGGGCUAAGUCAGACCACCUGCUUCACCAACAGGUUCACGUCUAAUGGACUUUGGGCUUAGCCUCUGUUUCUUGUAUUUGAAAUUCAGUGAAAUUAAUUGACCUAAACUGAGGGGUGUCUGUAAAUCUCUGCUCUUGUUUCUGCUCACUGGUGAAGCUUUGUUUUGGUUGUGGUACCAGAUGGAGUCCAGGGCCUCAUGCAUGCUGAGCAGGAGCUCUAACACUGAGCUGUACCCUAGCUUUCACUUGUGUUUGAUAAUCUCUGGGUGGACUUUUUCCACAGUUAUAUGUGCUGGUUUUGAACACUGUGUUCCUAUGUAACAUGGGAUGGAUUUCCUUGUGUGCAUUUUUUUUUCACAAGUGGUACAGACAAAAUGGAUGGUCUUGUGUCAUGAGGCUCAGAUUCUAAUACUUACAAAAAACCUGUUGGAUUCAAGACAAGAGAGGGCGAUGGAACAUUAAUGCUCAUGUUCCAUCACCCCUUAUAUGAGACAUAUGUAAAAACUUAAACUGAGCAAUUUUUAGGUGUCCUAUACAGUUUUAUAGGUUUUCACAGGUGUCCUAGACAGAGGGUGGGACAUGAUGGGUCAGUCACAAGACCACCUGAGUAGUGUUGAUAAAAAAAAAAUGGCUAGCACGCACGGUGGCAGUGAACACAGAGCAUGUGCUGUUAGGGAACGGGCUGGUCUCAGGAGAGCACAGGCUCUUAGAUACACACACAGCAGUGGCGGGGUGUCAAGGUGGCUAGGCCUUGCACCUCUGUCUGUGGGUGUGUUUGGAGUUAAAAGCAGCACAAAAGAAGGUAGGAGAUAUGGAG